GCCCCCAUCGUCUAGACGGCCUAGGACAUUUCCCUUUCACGGAAACAACGGGGAUUCGAAUUCCCCUGGGGGUA
Molecule: transfer RNA, 74 nt
Filed under: Genlisea aurea
Lineage: Eukaryota; Viridiplantae; Streptophyta; Magnoliopsida; Lamiales; Lentibulariaceae
Rfam family: tRNA
About the family: Transfer RNA (tRNA) molecules are approximately 80 nucleotides in length. Their secondary structure includes four short double-helical elements and three loops (D, anti-codon, and T loops).
Source: Rfam by way of RNAcentral